Molecule: long non-coding RNA, 937 nt
Filed under: Brachypodium distachyon (stiff brome)
Lineage: Eukaryota; Viridiplantae; Streptophyta; Magnoliopsida; Poales; Poaceae
Description: long non-coding RNA (BDIS_LNC005701)
Source: RNAcentral
GGUUUCCUGGCGCUAGGGCUGCGAGGAGGGGCGCGGGACGGCUUAAAUAGGGGCGCAGAGCUCUCCCUGUCGCUGCCGGAGGCCGAUGUGGAGCGGGGGGCUCACCGGCCAGGAAGAAGAAAAGCAGAGGGGAAGAAGAGCUUGUGAGAGGUGGCGCAUUCUGGAGAAGGCGCCUUCGCGGCUGGGAGGCGGAACGCGGGCGUGCGCGAUGAGGAUGGGCCGCAGCGCUGCUGGGCUGCACGGGAGAAGAUGGGCCGUGGGGCGCGUUGCUGGGCUGCGGGGCGCCGAGGCGGUUGUUGGGCCGGCUCGGGCCCGAGGUAAGUUUUCUUUUCUUUUUUUUUUCCUUUUUCCUUUUUCUGUUUUCUGUUUUCUCUUUUGCAAAUAGCCUUUGAUUCAAAAUUCAAAUACCAUUUUGAAGAGCUGAGAAAUAGGAGAAUUCAAAUAUGGUACUACUAUUUGGGAAAUAUUCAAAUGGGAUUAAAGAUUGUAAGACCCAUUUGACUCUCUUUUAUAAAAUAUAGGAAAAGGAAUUCAAACUCAAAGAAGGAAGGAUGAUUCAUAUUGAAUCUUCUAGCAAAUUCAAACAACAAGAUUUCAAACCACAAGUUAAAAUGUAAUUUCAAAUUUAUGUGAAGCAAAGAAGAGAUGACAUGGCAUGGAUGCAAAUGUAAAAUGUCAUGCAACAAGAAUUUAAAUUACAAACAGGUCCAACAAGGGCUUAAUGUAAGAUGUUGCUCUCGGGCUGUUACAAAGUGGCAAUUUCUCAUUGUACCAAACCCUAGCCUUAACUGGCUUUGCUCUUCUCUUACUCUGUGGUUUUGGUAAAAAGGUAGGAAUGGGCUGAGCACCAUCAUGAUCACAAGAAUCUACAAGGUCAACACAGUCCUCACUAUCUUGUGCACCUAUAUAUUCCUCAUCUGAACUAUUCCUCUGUGAU